Drosophila virilis is the source of this 323-nucleotide non-coding RNA. The record is from RefSeq and is a predicted model, not a curated record. Lineage: Eukaryota; Metazoa; Arthropoda; Insecta; Diptera; Drosophilidae.
CCACUGUGCUGGAUAUUGGAGUCUGAAUUGCUGCAAACGUGCUAGCCGCUGUCGUCUGGUAUUGCCGUUCGAUCAGACGCCAUUGACGUGGAAGCUGCUCUGGUCGAGUUGUCUGAUUUGAGCGCUGAAUGCACCUAAACGUAACCAUGAUAACGAGAUCAGUAAAUCCUUCGCCAUUUUGCACAUCUGGUAUGCCGUCAAUUGUGUGCCUCACAGACAAGCUGAUAGCCGACGCCGUAUUGGUUGCCUGUGCUGUUGUUGUGUUUGUGUGGGUGCUCGUCGUUGGAGAAAUGCCCAUUGCGCUGCGGUUGGCUGCUGCAGAG